UCAACAUGGCUUUUGGUGAUUAUCUCGCUGAAUACAACCCCAAGGUACAUGGUCCUUAUGACCCAGCUCGCUAUUAUGGCAAAGCUGAUGUUCCCUUCGGUCAAGUA
Molecule: non-coding RNA, 107 nt
Organism: Musca domestica (house fly)
Lineage: Eukaryota; Metazoa; Arthropoda; Insecta; Diptera; Muscidae
Source: Rfam